RNAcentral lists this ribosomal RNA (516 nucleotides) under uncultured bacterium. RNAcentral's name for it is "bacterial SSU rRNA". It matches the Rfam family "Bacterial small subunit ribosomal RNA", at positions 29 to 518 of the family's 1533-position model. The record is from RNAcentral.
ACGAACGCUGGCGGCGUGCCUAAUACAUGCAAGUCGAACGGUCUUUCUAUGGAAGCUUGCUUCCACUGAGAAGAUAGUGGCGAACGGGUGAGUAACACGUGGGUAACCUGCCCAUAAGAGGGGGAUAACAUCCGGAAACGGGUGCUAAUACCGCAUAGUUUUCUUGAUCGCAUGAUCGGGAAAGGAAAGACGGCCUUUGUGCUGUCGCUUAUGGAUGGACCCGCGGCGUAUUAGUUAGUUGGUGAGGUAACGGCUCACCAAGACGAUGAUACGUAGCCGACCUGAGAGGGUGAUCGGCCACAUUGGGACUGAGACACGGCCCAAACUCCUACGGGAGGCAGCAGUAGGGAAUCUUCCGCAAUGGACGAAAGUCUGACGGAGCAACGCCGCGUGAGUGAAAGAAGGUUUUCGGAUCGUAAAACUCUGUUGUCAGAGAAGAACAAGUUGGAGAGUAACUGCUCCAGCCUUGACGGUAUCUGACCAGAAAGCCACGGCUAACUACGUGCCAGCCGCGGC